Felis catus (domestic cat) is the source of this 85-nucleotide non-coding RNA. NCBI's taxonomy places the organism in Eukaryota, Metazoa, Chordata, Mammalia, Carnivora, Felidae. The record is from Rfam.
GCCUGGGUGGCUCAGUCGGUUGAGCAUCCGACUUCAGCUCAGGUGAUGAUUUCCUGGUUUGUGGGUUCGAGCCCUGCAUCGGGCU